GACGAACGCUGGCGGCGUGCCUAAUACAUGCAAGUAGAACGCUGAAGGAGGAGCUUGCUUCUCUGGAUGAGUUGCGAACGGGUGAGUAACGCGUAGGUAACCUGCCUGGUAGCGGGGGAUAACUAUUGGAAACGAUAGCUAAUACCGCAUAAGAGUAGAUGUUGCAUGACAUUUGCUUAAAAGGUGCAAUUGCAUCACUACCAGAUGGACCUGCGUUGUAUUAGCUAGUUGGUGGGGUAACGGCUCACCAAGGCGACGAUACAUAGCCGACCUGAGAGGGUGAUCGGCCACACUGGGACUGAGACACGGCCCAGACUCCUACGGGAGGCAGCAGUAGGGAAUCUUCGGCAAUGGACGGAAGUCUGACCGAGCAACGCCGAGUGAGUGAAGAAGGUUUUCGGAUCGUAAAGCUCUGUUGUAAGAGAAGAACGAGUGUGAGAGUGGAAAGUUCACACUGUGACGGUAUCUUACCAGAAAGGGACGGCUAACUACGUG
RNAcentral lists this ribosomal RNA (495 nucleotides) under uncultured bacterium. RNAcentral describes it as "partial 16S ribosomal RNA". It matches the Rfam family "Bacterial small subunit ribosomal RNA", at positions 28 to 507 of the family's 1533-position model. The record is from RNAcentral.